GACAGAGGGGGCAAGCGUUGUUCGGAAUUACUGGGCGUAAAGGGCUCGUAGGCGGCCAACUAAGUCAUACGUGAAAUCCCUCAGCUUAACUGGGGAACUGCGUGUGAUACUGGAUGGCUUGGAUUUGGGAGAGGGAUGCGGAAUUCCAGGUGUAGCGGUGAAAUGCGUAGAUAUCUGGAGGAACACCGGUGGCGAAGGCGGUCUUCUGGACGGUGACUGACGCUGAGGCGCGAAAGCGUGGGGAGCAAACGGG
RNAcentral lists this ribosomal RNA (253 nucleotides) under uncultured bacterium. Its description in RNAcentral is "partial 16S ribosomal RNA". It matches the Rfam family "Bacterial small subunit ribosomal RNA", at positions 524 to 776 of the family's 1533-position model. The record is from RNAcentral.